This 731-nucleotide ribosomal RNA is filed under the name uncultured bacterium. Its description in RNAcentral is "bacterial SSU rRNA". It matches the Rfam family "Bacterial small subunit ribosomal RNA", at positions 771 to 1501 of the family's 1533-position model. The record is from RNAcentral.
AACAGGAUUAGAUACCCUGGUAGUCCACGCCGUAAACGAUGUCUACUAGCCGUUGGGGUCCUUGAGACUUUAGUGGCGCAGUUAACGCGAUAAGUAGACCGCCUGGGGAGUACGGCCGCAAGGUUAAAACUCAAAUGAAUUGACGGGGGCCCGCACAAGCGGUGGAGCAUGUGGUUUAAUUCGAUGCAACGCGAAGAACCUUACCUGGUCUUGACAUAGUAAGAACUUUCCAGAGAUGGGUUGGUGCCUUCGGGAACUUACAUACAGGUGCUGCAUGGCUGUCGUCAGCUCGUGUCGUGAGGUGUUGGGUUAAGUCCCGCAACGAGCGCAACCCUUUUCCUUAUUUGCCAGCGGGUUAAGCCGGGAACUUUAAGGAUACUGCCAGUGACAAACUGGAGGAAGGCGGGGACGACGUCAAGUCAUCAUGGCCCUUACGACCAGGGCUACACACGUGCUACAAUGGUCGGUACAAAGGGUUGCUACCUAGCGAUAGGAUGCUAAUCUCAAAAAGCCGAUCGUAGUCCGGAUUGGAGUCUGCAACUCGACUCCAUGAAGUCGGAAUCGCUAGUAAUCGCGGAUCAGAAUGCCGCGGUGAAUACGUUCCCGGGCCUUGUACACACCGCCCGUCACACCAUGGGAGUUUGUUGCACCAGAAGUAGGUAGUCUAACCGCAAGGAGGACGCUUACCACGGUGUGGCCGAUGACUGGGGUGAAGUCGUAACAAGGUAACC